This 253-nucleotide ribosomal RNA is filed under the name uncultured bacterium. RNAcentral's name for it is "partial 16S ribosomal RNA". It matches the Rfam family "Bacterial small subunit ribosomal RNA", at positions 524 to 776 of the family's 1533-position model. The record is from RNAcentral.
UACGUAGGGGGCAAGCGUUAUCCGGAUUUACUGGGUGUAAAGGGAGCGUAGACGGCGAUGCAAGCCAGAUGUGAAAGCCCGGGGCUCAACCCCGGGACUGCAUUUGGAACUGUAUAGCUAGAGUGUCGGAGAGGCAGGCGGAAUUCCUAGUGUAGCGGUGAAAUGCGUAGAUAUUAGGAGGAACACCAGUGGCGAAGGCGGCUCUCUGGUCUGCAACUGACGCUGAGGCUCGAAAGCAUGGGUAGCGAACAGG